AAAGGAGUCGUCCCUAGUACGAGAGGACCGGGAUGAACGUACCUAUUGUGUACCUGUUGUUGUGCCAACAGCAUUGCAGGGUAGCGAAGUACGGACGGGAUAAACGCUGAAAGCAUCUAAGCGUGAAGCCUCCCUUAAGAUAAGAUAUCCCACAGAGUUAAUCUGGUAAGACCCCUUGUAGAUUACGAGGUUGAUAGGUUAGAGGUGUAAGCACAGUAAUGUGUUCAGCUGACUAAUACUAAUAGGUCGAGGGCUUGAUCAA
This 262-nucleotide ribosomal RNA is filed under the name Clostridia bacterium. RNAcentral's name for it is "partial 23S ribosomal RNA". It matches the Rfam family "Bacterial large subunit ribosomal RNA", at positions 2665 to 2925 of the family's 2925-position model. The record is from RNAcentral. Lineage: Bacteria; Bacillati; Bacillota; Clostridia.